This 704-nucleotide ribosomal RNA is filed under the name Actinomycetes bacterium. RNAcentral's name for it is "bacterial SSU rRNA". It matches the Rfam family "Bacterial small subunit ribosomal RNA", at positions 67 to 784 of the family's 1533-position model. The record is from RNAcentral. Lineage: Bacteria; Bacillati; Actinomycetota; Actinomycetes.
CGAUGAACCUCACUUGUGGGGGGAUUAGUGGCGAACGGGUGAGUAACACGUGAGUAACCUGCCCUUAACUCUGGGAUAAGCCUGGGAAACUGGGUCUAAUACCGGAUAUGACUCCUCAUCGCAUGGUGGGGGGUGGAAAGCUUUUUUGUGGUUUUGGAUGGACUCGCGGCCUAUCAGCUUGUUGGUGAGGUAAUGGCUCACCAAGGCGACGACGGGUAGCCGGCCUGAGAGGGUGACCGGCCACACUGGGACUGAGACACGGCCCAGACUCCUACGGGAGGCAGCAGUGGGGAAUAUUGCACAAUGGGCGCAAGCCUGAUGCAGCGACGCCGCGUGAGGGAUGACGGCCUUCGGGUUGUAAACCUCUUUCAGUAGGGAAGAAGCGAAAGUGACGGUACCUGCAGAAGAAGCGCCGGCUAACUACGUGCCAGCAGCCGCGGUAAUACGUAGGGCGCAAGCGUUAUCCGGAAUUAUUGGGCGUAAAGAGCUCGUAGGCGGUUUGUCGCGUCUGCCGUGAAAGUCCGGGGCUCAACUCCGGAUCUGCGGUGGGUACGGGCAGACUAGAGUGAUGUAGGGGAGACUGGAAUUCCUGGUGUAGCGGUGAAAUGCGCAGAUAUCAGGAGGAACACCGAUGGCGAAGGCAGGUCUCUGGGCAUUAACUGACGCUGAGGAGCGAAAGCAUGGGGAGCGAACAGGAUUAGAUA